This 4465-nucleotide long non-coding RNA is filed under the name Heterocephalus glaber (naked mole-rat). Its description in RNAcentral is "lncRNA (ENSHGLG00000050397.1)". The stretch from base 3239 to 3313 matches the Rfam family "mir-101 microRNA precursor family". The record is from RNAcentral. Lineage: Eukaryota; Metazoa; Chordata; Mammalia; Rodentia; Bathyergidae.
CACGGACGGUUCCACGGCGCUACCAGGGCCCGGCGGUGGCGCCUGCGGGUGGGAGGCACAGCGGGGGCGGAAGCGCUCAGACACGCGCCGGGACCGCGCCCCCGCCCCUUUGUCCCGGUCACGGGACCCGGAAGCCGCCGUCACGUGCGCGCGGGAUAAACACAGAAAGAUGGCGCCGGCCACGCUGCGCGGCGCUGCUGCGUCACAGCGAUCCUCCGCGGACCGCGGGGAGAACAAAGGCGGGGCGGCCGCCCGGCGCAGCCGAGAACAGCAAGAGCUGAAAAUAGAACCACCUUGGGCUCCGGAGCAGGAAGCUGCCCAGGAGCGGUACUGAGGACUGACGCCGAGGGACGCUGGCGCCCCGCGGGUGGCCAUGGCGACGGGCCCCCUUCUCUAGGCUGGGGGCAGACUCUGAGGUUUUGCUGUAUAGCCCAGGCUGGCCUUGAACUUACAGCGGAUCCUCCUGCCUCAGCCUCCCGAGUGCUGGGAUCCCAGGCGUGCCCAGUGUGGCCUUGCAGUCCCUUGCCUCGGGCCUCUGGGCAUCUGUUGGACAGCUCCAGUCCCAGCGCUGCCCUUUCUCCUGAGUUGGCUUCAGAAGAGGCAGCCCCUGAAGCACUCCCUUCAGAGAGGUCAGGACCGAAGGGUCUUGCUGUGUAGCUGUGGCUGGACUUGAACCAAGAGCAAUCCUCCUGCCUCAGCCUCCCGAGUGCUGGGAUGACAGGCGCCACCAUGCCCAGCUUAGAAACCAGCAUUUUAAAAGACCAGGUGCUGCAGUCGGAUGGGCCGGGGAUUUAGCUCAGUGGUUCCGGCACCUGCCUCACAAGCGCAAGGUCCCGAGUUCAAUCCCUGGUACCAAAAAAAAUACCAGGUGCUGCAGUCGGAGGGACCGUGCAGAUCAGCCAGACACAGCGCUUUCAGGUGCUUAGCCGGAGGCGAACAUGUUGAAUCUAACACGUAUAUUUUGGACCAGUUAUUGAAGGGUCCACUGCCGACAUGAACUCAGAAUAAAGCUAACUGUGCAGUGGCUGGGGAGGGGCACACGAAAACGAGUGUGCUCGGUGCAUGAAGUGAAGCGUGCGUGCGGGUGUCCGGCCCAGUGAAGGUUGCACCUCAGGGUCUUUGUGGGCUGGGCACCCAGUCCCUGUCUCUGUCCCUGUCCAGGAACUACGGCUCCCACUUUUGGCUGGGUGCCCAGGGCGGGGCCCAGCUUUUCCUUGCUGUAUUUUUUAAACCAUUUCAGGAGAAGAAAAAAGCAAAUCUAUAACCCUGGCUUCAAGUUUCCUGGAGGGCUGUGGCACAAGGUAGCUUUUCUUUUUUAACUCUGAUUUCUGCCCAUCCGAGGUUGCAGUCCUUCCUCCAGGGAGCUGGUUCAAGACAUCUCACACCUCCGCCUUCGCCCCUUCUCCUCCCUGUCUCUCCAUUGAGUCUUCAGAGCCUCUGGUGUGAAGCAGAGAUGCAGCAGGAGGCAGGCGCACAUGCUGCGCACUGCACAAGCAGAAGUGUCGCUCCCUGGCACUCUGACGGUGUCCUCAAGGAGUAGGCUGUGAGUUUCAGACUAGGAAAAGCUAUCCCAGAGAGCAGCGAGCUGAAAUCAGACUGCAGCUCAGCUCAGCAGCACUUCAGAUGCGUGGCCUUCAGCACCCCAUUCCUCAGCUCCCAGUGUUGGAUCCCCACUGCUGGCUCUGCAGGCUGUUGCCGUGUCUCCGUCCUCCAGAAGUACCUGCCUCCGAGGUGGGUCCUGUGCUCACGCAUGGGGCGAGGUCACGGUGUUUGCCACUUGACCACAGCCUGGACAUCAGCUCCCUCUCUGGAAGAACCUAGUUCCCACCCCGGUCCGCUUUGUCCCUCUCAGAUGCCAUGUACUUCCUCACUGUACAAGUCCAUACAGUCCCUUGUUCUUUAGUUAAAACAGUUUAACCUUUGUUUGGGGAUUUUUUUUCAGACAGGAUUUUGUUAUGUUUCCCAGGCUGGCCUUGAACUCAUGGCAAUCCUCCUGCCUCAGCCUCCUGAGUGCCAGGUUACAACAGUUUAAUUCUUACAAGAACAGUAUGUAUUUGAAAAAUGUUUCAAGUAGAUUUUACUUUUAAAAAAAAUUCCAAGGAGAAACAAAAUUGCAUUUUAAAGCAUUUAUUAGUUAUAAAAUAAUCAUUUAAAUUUUUUUUUCCUCGAGACUGCUUUCAAGUUGCACUGAGAGAAUGCUAAUGUAAAUAUUCACAAGAUAGUUGUUUGCUUUUUAUUAUUACAAAUGCUUAGUCUUUUUUUCCUUCCAAUUUAGAUAGAAAAAGUGAAAGAGAAAAACAUUGCCUAAAGGAAAUAGCCUUUACAAUGGACCUUUGACUUACGAACUCAGUCCGUUCCAGAGGGAUGGUUGUAACUCAGGUUGGUCAGUGGAGGCUCGGGCUCCCCUACACAGCCUUCACAGUCUCUCUCCUGCACACAGGCAGAUCUCAGUGUCCUCAGAGAGACACUGGCCGGGGAUUUCCCAGUGAGCCCCAUUCAGGAGAGGAUGCUGUCCUGUUCCUUCCAGACUCUUUAAGGGUUAAGUCUGCAUGUGAGACCAUCUGGAAGCACAGGUGGCCAGCAUUCAGGUCAUAACUCAAGACUUUGGUUGUAAGUUAAAACUAAAAUCCUGGUCAAGACCCAAGUUGUUCGUAUAUCAGGCCGGUUGUAACUCAAGGGCCCACUGUUGCACUAUUUACUGAGUGUCUGGCAGUUGCAUGGCUUCGCCGUGGGUCACCCCGAUGUCCUGUGGGCCCCAGGAGAAGCUCAGGACCAAGGCCUGGCGGGCACAGCACCAUCCCUGCUGCCUUUCCUUCGGCAGCUGGGGACGCCUCUGCCCUCAGUCGCUGUUCCGGUUCUGUGUGUAGGAGGAGCCAGCUGCUCUCUGGGAGCCUCUGGUCUGCCUGAAAGGCGCUGCCCCAUCAGUCUGGAGCAGAAAUCCAAGAACAAGCGCACCUGCCUGUCGGAUCUGCUCAGACAAAACAGCGGAGACCUCAAAACACAGCGGAAACGGCGAGUCACCGCCUCCAGAGGAUGCUCUGCCACUGAUUUCAGCCCAGACGCCCUGUGCCCCUCAGGAGCUGGAGUCCCUGAGUCAGCCAGAUGGCAGGGCUCGACUCAGGAAGUCAUCUGGGAGCCGCAGGUUCUGAUGCUGAGCCCAGGGAUAGAGCUGGCUGCUGCUCUCCGAGGGACCUCAGAGCCCGGCCCACACCUCGUGGGACCCACAGAGCCUCCUGGCUGCCCUGGCUCAGUUAUCACAGUGCUGAUGCUGUCCACUCUAAAGGUACAGUACUGUGAUAACUGAAGGAUGGCAGCCACCUUGCUGCCCGAGGUGCCCGGAACCACAGAGGAGGAGGAGGAAGAAGGGGCCCAGUGAUGGCCCCGAAACCCAUGCGCAGCCCCUGGCUGGAGAGAAGGUUAUUCUGGCUCUUCGCUGUGCUUUGUUCAUUUUUGGGUUUUUUGAGUUAGGUCGCCAUGCCGUUCAAACUGGCCUUGAAGUCACUGGAGCCCAGGCUGGUCCUGGACUCGAGGUGAACCUCCUGCCUCAGCCUCCUGCGUGCUAGGGUUGCCCCAGCCCUGCUCUCCUUGUCUCGUUUUAUAACAUGGGCAGAAAACUCGAGGUGGUUUGUUGGCAAACACGGAAGGGCCAGGAACCUUGAGUCUUCAGGGGUCAUCGCUGGGGAUGUACCGGGUAUGAGUCAGGGGGCCGGGCAUGGCAGUGCCCGCCUGUAAUCCCAGACUCGGGAGGCUGAGGCAGGAGGACUUCUGGGAGUUCAAGGCCAGUGUCCAGUUGCCGUGUCUCUGGGGAUUGGACAGCGACCUGUCUGUCCUGUGUCCGGAGAGAUUUACAUCACAUCUUCUCCCAAAAGUGUGUACUGUUACUGCUGCUGUUGUCACCUUUCAUAUGAAAAUAAAGUGUGAAGUUAUUUCAUUUUGUCACAUAAAGAAGGACCACUCUGGGAGCUGGGUGUGGGGGCCACACCGGUAAUACUCGGGAGGCCGAGCGAGGCAGCAGGAUCCCUGCAGGUUCAAGGCCAGCCUGGGCUCCAGAGUGAGACCCCCAUCUCAAAAAAUUAAUAACCAAGCAAGUACAAAGCAACCCCCACACCGGGUUUUAUGCUUCCCAGCCUCUGCAUCCUCUCCAGAGUCUGCAGGGCUGCAGGGCCCAGGUUCAGGUGGCUGGGGCGGGACCUCACUUCCCUGCAGCUCCAUCUGCGUGACUCUUGCCCCAAGGAAGUGAAUGUAGGGCCUCACAGACAUUGACACACUUCUGCUGAUGCCGCCCAGGUGUACAUGUGAGGAUGGGUAGGGGAGCAAGAUGUGACACGUGUAGUGGGUGGAGUAUUACUCAGCCCUGAAAAGGCAGAGUUCCUCACUGCAGUGUGGUGAGUCUUACAGAUGCUGUGUCGGUAAAAGAAGCUAGCAUGACAAGAUGGGUUCCGUGUGUCCCCACAUGCACUUCCAG